Molecule: small nuclear RNA, 107 nt
Filed under: Monodon monoceros (narwhal)
Lineage: Eukaryota; Metazoa; Chordata; Mammalia; Artiodactyla; Monodontidae
Source: RNAcentral
GUGCUCACUUCAGCAGCACAUAUACUAAAAUUGGAACAAUACAGGGAAGAUUAGCAUGACCCCUGUGCAAGGGUAACAUGCAAAUUCAUGAAGCAUUCCAUAUUUUU